This 394-nucleotide long non-coding RNA is filed under the name Rattus norvegicus (Norway rat). Its description in RNAcentral is "long non-coding RNA NONRATT032387". The record is from RNAcentral. Lineage: Eukaryota; Metazoa; Chordata; Mammalia; Rodentia; Muridae.
CUAGUAUUGAUAAAAAGGAAUUCGACUUAGGGCUUUAAGGGAAGAGCGUGUCUCAACCCAGGCACUGGAGAGUAACACAAGCUUUGCAUUCAGCUUUUCCAGAAUCGACUCCAGGAUCUUAUCGGAAGGGACCAGCAGGUUCUGGAUUUUCCUAAGCUUGGACUGCAUUUUUCAUUCUUCUGGAAACAACCUUAAGCGCAGGCAGAACAUUCACAGAGACAUCAGGAAGCCAAAUCCAGUUCUGCUUACCGGACAUGCAACCAUUCUCAACCCAGGAUUAAGCAUUAUCCAUACAAACCCAACACUCAAAAGAAGGACAGAGAUUCCAACCUGACACAGCAUGUUUCUUGGAUGGACAACUCUCCCUCAUUGAUCCUGAGGAAUGCAAGCCAAG